This 254-nucleotide ribosomal RNA is filed under the name uncultured bacterium. RNAcentral's name for it is "partial 16S ribosomal RNA". It matches the Rfam family "Bacterial small subunit ribosomal RNA", at positions 524 to 776 of the family's 1533-position model. The record is from RNAcentral.
GACGUAGGGCGCGAGCGUUGUCCGGAUUUAUUGGGCGUAAAGAGCUCGUAGGCGGCUUGUCGCGUCGACUGUGAAAACCCGCGGCUCAACCGUGUGGCUUGCAGUUGAUACGGGCAGGCUAGAGUUCGGUAGGGGAGACUGGAAUUCCUGGUGUAGCGGUGAAAUGCGUAGAUAUCAAGAGGAACACCUGCGGCGAAGGCGGGUUGCUGGGCCGACACUGACGCUGAGGCGCGAAAGCCAGGGGAGCGAACGGG